Carassius gibelio (silver crucian carp) is the source of this 1387-nucleotide long non-coding RNA. RefSeq lists it as uncharacterized. Lineage: Eukaryota; Metazoa; Chordata; Actinopteri; Cypriniformes; Cyprinidae. The record is from RefSeq and is a predicted model, not a curated record. The transcript is spliced from 3 exons.
AAAUAAAGAAAACUCUUUGAAUGAGAAGGUGUGUCCAAACCUUUGGUCUGUACUAUAUAUAUAUAUAUAUAUAUAUAUAUAUAUAUAUAUAUAUAUAUAUAUAUAUAUAUAUAUAUAUAUACAUUAUAGGGCGAUAUUUGACUCCUUAAAGAUUAGUUUUUUAACCUUUAUAAUCCCCUUUUUCAAACUUUAUUAAAUGUAUUCCAUAUUUUAAAGCCAAAACAUUUAGAUUUUAACUUAGCAUCAACAUUUCAUCUUUGCCAUGCACUUAACUUUUUUUGUUGCAUUAAGGAAUAUUUACAGACUUCAUGCAUAAUAACGAUGUUAUGAGAUUAAUGUUUAAAAUAUGAAGUUUUGAAUAUAGAAAUAUUAAACAAUUUAAAUGACUCAAUUUAUAAAAUGAAACUGAAACCGCCAGUAGGUGGCAGCAUGUCACUGAAUCAUUUAUUAAAUCGAUUCGUUCAAACGUCUGAUUCAUUUAUGAUUUUAAGACAGCACCGGAUGUAGUGUCUGGCGCGUUUUUUAGAUUGUUAGGUCAUUAUUAAUCUCUUUAUCAGAGAACAACAAAGAUGUCUGGUGUACCUAAUAAUUUUAGAAGACGUCUCAGUGGGAUUAGAGAUCGCAUAAAUGCCCAACUUGACAGUUUACUUGAAGCAUCACCAGCAGAGCUUGGAGAACAAAGUCUUGUGGACAGGUAGGGAAUGUCUGUCUGCCUAUCUAUCUAUCUAUCUAUCUAUCUAUCUAUCUAUCUAUCUAUCUAUCUAUCUAUCUAUCUAUCUAUCUAUCUAUCUAUCUGUAAAAUCUUUAAAUAAAAUCUAUUUAUUAGCCCUAUAAAUUCAUUGGAUGAUUUAAUUCGACAACUUAAAUCAUGACAUUAUAAUAACAAACAAUAAGUAUCAAACUUACUUUAUCUCAGAUCAUUAAUUAGGUUAUAGCAAAUAUGUUUAAAUUUCGUAGUAGAGUUAUGUUUAAAUGUUCUCUGAAAGGUUUGAGAUGUUCCGCAACGAACAGCCGUUGCAUGGUCCUGCUCGUCCCAGAAGGACGCGGAGGAGAAAUGUGACAUGUACAUUUAAAGUAACUCUUCUCCGCACUGGUAUUGAUCGGUUAUCUUCUUUGAGAGAUGCCAUUGCCAGUCAGAGACUUGUUGUACAGAGAGAGCAGAGUGAGACACAGUUUGCAGAAAUUCUCAGAAGCACGUUUCCACAGCUUCAAGGGAGAGAGUUUGAAUUAUGCAGGGUUGAUGCACAGAGGCAGGUUUCACGUUUGAGUCUGGAGUCAAAAACCCCAGCAGCCAUAAUUGCUAGUGGGCAGCUAGGAAGAUCGGCACUUUAUGUACAAGAGAAGAGUACUUAUGCACUUGCACAAGUGAACUCCUCUCCAGCUCCAG